This is a long non-coding RNA of Pezoporus occidentalis (night parrot), 1722 nucleotides long. RefSeq lists it as uncharacterized. The record is from RefSeq and is a predicted model, not a curated record. Lineage: Eukaryota; Metazoa; Chordata; Aves; Psittaciformes; Psittacidae. The transcript has 3 exons.
AGAAUAGCGUAGCAAUGGAUGACUGUCUGAAGGGGAACUGUUGAUCUAACUUUAGGAGUAACAGCCUCAGUGGAGACACUCAUGGAAGAGAAGCAAAACAUCUCCAAAGCUGGGCAGCAGUUCAGCUAUUAUUUUUUCCUCUCUUCCAACCUAUGAAUAGUUCAAAUCACCCCUGUAUUUAACAUCAGGGAUAUGCUUACCUGACUUAAUUGAAUUGGGACAUUACAUGGAAAAAGACUUUAUUGAAUUAUGACUUACCUACUGCUUUCUGUUGGUGCUACCAAAGAAUCAGGCUGAGCCUGUGGCACUGAGUGCAAUCAGCAUUUAAAAAAGGAAACAGUACAAACCCAGAUUCUUCCAGUGUAAGCUCCCAGUGCAGGAAGCUUCUUGCCAUGUCUUUGACUGGCACUGGAAUGAGGAAACUCUGCCUCACCUUCAACAUUCUGUGCACUCUGUUGGAAUGAUACUAAAAUAAGUGCUAAAAGUAGUUGGCCAGUUCUGUUGAGGCCUUUCAACCAAAUAUUAUUUUUGGCUGUUUUCAGCUUUUUCUCAUUGUGCAAGAUUGUAGGUUUAAAUAUGUUAUUAAAAUAAAUUAUUUUAACAGUUCCUGUAUAAACAUACCUAGUUACCAGCUAAAACAUGAUUUUUUAUGUCUAGGGGGAAUUCCAGUAAGAACCGAUGUAAUACUUCUGCUUGUGAAGCAGACAGGCAAGGUAACCUUUGUCACCCCUGGGCUGUGCUGCAAAGCAUAUCUUUGUGUCAACAGGGUAAGGUGACGUGUCCUCAUCAUUGAUGCAAGUGUUCUGGCAGUUUGGAGAACUACAGUUUGCAAAAUCAGAAGCUAGCUUUGUGAUUUUCACUUGGGGUCGGAUGAUGGGAACAGAUAACUCACUUCAGAUGAACAAAAGGAAAGAAAAUCAAAUUUAAAAUGAACUAUGUUUCUGACGUAUUUUCUACAUGUAGAGAAAAGCCAAACCUAAUACGUAUUCUGACCAAAGGCCAAACACUCAGCCUUGGCUGCAUAUGCUUGGCUCUCAUUGUCGGCAGCAGCAACUCUGAGUAUAUCGAAGGUCAGAACUAAACUCUAAUUUGAGCUUAGUUCAAUAUAACCACAUGAUUUCAUCAGCUCCACCUAAGUCUAAUAAAGUAGAACUUAAGCCAGCAUACCACUGAUCAAUGUGUUUCAUGUAUAAGAUGCAGAACUUCAUUUAAAUAAAUGGCAGCCCAAGGAAAUGAAAGUAGGUGUAAACCGAAUUAAUGCCUUGCUGCACAAAAUGUAAAAAUCCCAGCCAUUUAUCACAGUGUAGCUUAGUUAUUCUGAGUGCAAGACAGUAAAUCUGAAGGAAUAAGAGAUGUGCUAAGAAACCAGACGUUAAAGCUACAGAAGCAGAAGCGACUGAUGGGUUAGUUUAAAUCAAAUGUUGCCUCAGCUACACUGCAAAAGCAAACAGUCUUAAUCCUUAAGUGCUGAAGAGUGCUGGACAUUUCCAGUUCCAUCCAAGAGAAAAGUAGACAAACUGUUCUCCAGUCCUUCUACCACUGAGAGGAGUGUUUUCCCUUUCCUGCUGCCUUGAAUUAGCUUUGCAUCCUCUGUUUCAUCUGUGCCUGCCAUGGCAUCAGACUACAGUGGAUCUUCUUCUUCCAGAACAUCACAGUUUUUGUUCCAUCCUCUGUCUCGGAUAUACCUUAGGAAGAUGACUGUAUGAAGCAUAGGCUUUGACA